RNAcentral lists this ribosomal RNA (316 nucleotides) under uncultured eukaryote. Its description in RNAcentral is "partial 18S ribosomal RNA". It matches the Rfam family "Eukaryotic small subunit ribosomal RNA", at positions 1470 to 1796 of the family's 1831-position model. The record is from RNAcentral.
CCCCUAGAUGUUCUGGGCCGCACGCGCGCUACACUGAACAGUUCAACAAGUCUUAACCUUGGCCGAUAGGCCUGGGCAACCUUUGAACGCCAGUCGUGCUGGGGAUAGAUUCUUGCAAUUAUUAAUCUUCAACGAGGAAUUCCUAGUAAACGCAAGUCAUCAGCUUGCAUUGAUUACGUCCCUGCCCUUUGUACACACCGCCCGUCGCACCUACCGAUUGAAUGGUCCGGUGAAAUCCUCGGAUCGAGCCGUGGGGCAACUCCGGUUCGAGAAGUUGAUUAAACCUUACCAUUUAGAGGAAGGUGAAGUCGUAACA